AGUGAACGCUGGCGGCAGGCCUAACACAUGCAAGUCGAGCGGCAGCGCGGGGGCAACCCUGGCGGCGAGCGGCGGACGGGUGAGGAAUUCGUCGGAAUCUGCCUUUUUGUGGGGGAUAACGUAGGGAAACUUACGCUAAUACCGCAUACGUCCUACGGGAGAAAGUGGGGGACCGCAAGGCCUCACGCAGAAAGAUGAGCCGACGACCGAUUAGCUAGUUGGUGGGGUAAAGGCCCACCAAGGCGACGAUCGGUAGCUGGUCUGAGAGGAUGAUCAGCCACAUGGGACCGGAGCCACGCCCCAGACUCCUGGGGGGGGCGGAGGGGGGGAUUUGUGGACAAGGGCCGAAGCCAUGACCCACCCUUGCGGCGGGUGGGAAGAAGGCUUCGGGGUUGUAAAGCCUUUUUGCCGGAAAAAAACCCCCGGGAGCAAAUCCCUGCGGGGGAUGACGGUCCGGAAAAAAAAAGCACCGGCUAACUUCGUC
This 484-nucleotide ribosomal RNA is filed under the name uncultured bacterium. RNAcentral's name for it is "partial 16S ribosomal RNA". It matches the Rfam family "Bacterial small subunit ribosomal RNA", at positions 30 to 507 of the family's 1533-position model. The record is from RNAcentral.